Molecule: long non-coding RNA, 965 nt
Organism: Chenopodium quinoa (quinoa)
Lineage: Eukaryota; Viridiplantae; Streptophyta; Magnoliopsida; Caryophyllales; Amaranthaceae
Exons: 3
Source: RefSeq, a predicted model, not a curated record
UCUUCUUAUUUUAAUCGUCUGCAUUCACAAGUAAAUUCCCUUAUUUCAAUUUUUUUUUUUAAACCAAAUGACUUCCCUUGAAUGUACGAGUAAUAAAUCUGUAAAAGUUUUAAUAACAGGCAACUUGAGUAAAUAAAAAACUACCUCAGUUUAACAACCCCCCAAAUGAUCCGUUCUCUUGCUAUAUUUCCCCUCCUUUCUCUCUCAGUUUCCAUUGAAGCGCACCCAUCGUACUCCAUUGAAGCGCACUCAAAGUUCUCCAUUGAAGCAGUUUCUAAGGAGGAAGUGGGGUUGUUACUAGUUUAUGAUGUCAAAUUGUACCUUGCUGGUACAACAUCUAACUCACAGGAUGGUGUCACAAUUGUUUUUGGAAAGUGUUUGCUUGUGCUCUAAGACAUGGCUGAGCAAAAUAGUCCUCUCUUGGAAUCGGGGACUUCAAAGAGGAGAAGGCUUAAGUCAAAUUGGAGCUGAAUAAAACAAGUUCUAGAGGAGGUAUGGUCGAACUCUCUGAAAGGUUCGGUCGAACCUUGGGUGUGACCGAACUUGCAUAAGGUUCGACCAAACGUUGAAAGCAAGAACUUUUCAGAUUUCAGCAUUUUGCAGAAGCGGUCGAACACCAGAAGUUCGACCAAACCUGGAGCAGGGAGGUUCGACCGAUCCUACCCACGGUUCGACCAAACCUACGCUGAUGUUCAACUGAACCUACCCUAUGUUUGGUCGAACCUUUUCCCGACUUCAGCCAGCUAUACACGGACUAUAUAAGUCCCGUUUUAGAACGUUUUGAUGUAAUUAGAUUAACUUAGUUCUAAUUUCUUAAUUUUAGCUUAAUCUAGAGAGAGAAAGCACUAUUAGUCAUCAUUUGGUAGAGAGAGAAGGUGUAGAUUUCUUCAUUGAUGAACUUGGAUUUUGAAGAAGGAACUUGUUUGACCUUUGUAGAUCAUCCACUUCAAUUAAUGAGCAAAUUC